GCCCUGGUAGCUUAGUUGACAAGAACACCGUAAUAAUAAUGUGGAGGUCGAGGGUUCGAGCCCCUCUCGGGGGA
RNAcentral lists this transfer RNA (74 nucleotides) under Trichobilharzia regenti. It matches the Rfam family "tRNA". Rfam says of the family: Transfer RNA (tRNA) molecules are approximately 80 nucleotides in length. The record is from Rfam by way of RNAcentral. Lineage: Eukaryota; Metazoa; Platyhelminthes; Trematoda; Strigeidida; Schistosomatidae.